Molecule: ribosomal RNA, 408 nt
Filed under: uncultured bacterium
Lineage: Bacteria
Description: partial 16S ribosomal RNA
Rfam family: Bacterial small subunit ribosomal RNA
Source: RNAcentral
GACGGACGCUGGCGGCGUGCUUAACACAUGCAAGUCGAACGCAGUGGCGAACGGGUGAGUAACGCGUAAUCACCCUGCCCUUCAGAGGGGGAUAACAGUUGGAAACGACUGCUAAUACCGCAUACUGAAGGAGGGGAUUGCGUCUGAUUAGGUAGUUGGAGGGGUAACGGCCCACCAAGGCGAUGAUCAGUAGCCGGGCUGGGAGGAUGAACGGCCACAUUGGGACUGAGACACGGCCCAGACUCCUACGGGAGGGAGCAGUGGGGAAUCUUCCGCAAUGGACGAAAGUCUAACGGAGCAACGCCGCGUGAGUUAUGACGGGCUUCGGGUUGUAAAGCUCUUUUAAUCGGGACGCGGUACCGGAAUAGAAAGCCACGGCUAACUACGUGCCAGCCGCCGCGGUAAUUC